GCCUGGGUGACUCAGUCAGUUGAGCGUCUGACUUGGACUCAGGUCAUGAUCUCACGGUUCAUGGGUUUGAGCCCCGUGUCAGGCU
Molecule: non-coding RNA, 85 nt
Organism: Felis catus (domestic cat)
Lineage: Eukaryota; Metazoa; Chordata; Mammalia; Carnivora; Felidae
Source: Rfam